ACACGAGUGCAGCUUUUCGUGAGCAGCGUGGAGUAAAUGUUAUAUUCUAAUAAGUUGGUGUUAUUGUUGUCCAAGAAGACAUAAAUCCAUUCGGAAUAUUAUUGUGUUGCCAGAGGGUUAAGAAGGACCACAAACUAAUGUGUUUCGAUAACUAUUCUCCGGUUGUUUUUUUUAUGGUCGAUUGCUGAGAGAGGACGACUGCGACUCGAGGUGUCCCAGCAGCGGGAGGCAGCCCGGCCGCCACUGCUACUUCACGUGGAGGAGUCACGGAGCCACUCCAUGGAUUUGGACGUGCCAGUUUUCCACGCGGAUUCCAGAUAAGAUUUGACAAUUAAAAGAACAUAAGGUCACAAUAUACAAACAACUAAGACUGAACUGAGAAGGAAACAAAGUGACUAAAAAAAAAAACUUUUGACUUGACUGAACUGAACUUGAACUAACUUUCUACAAGAAGGAUCCUACUCUACAGCCGUGGAGAAAGAACUGAUAAGACAAUUGUUAAGUACCCGGGUACAGUAACUAAAGUUGGCUAAGUGAGUUUAUUUUUUUUAUUUUUUAUUUUUUUGUGGUUAUUAUAUAACCAGAGCUCUGGGAAAAGAGGUACACUUAAUUUCAUUUUUUUGAAUACGCCUUACUGUGCUUUGCUUUAUUAUUUUGUUUAAGUAUAACAGAAGGUGAACCAGCAUAGUCUGAGAGAAGUGUUUAAUUCAUUUUUCUAUAAAUAAAUGCACCCAGUUAUUGUAUUAAGUCGUUGUGGUGUUUUGCUUAACAUCCUCUGACCAGAACCUAGAUUUUAGACAUUGAUGUUUUGCUAUUACUCCCUUACAGUUAGUGUUACAAGAAUAUAAACAAAAACUCAGGAUCAUGACAGCUACAUGAUACUGUUGUAUAGUGACUAACUGGAGAGAGUUAAUAAAAAUGUAUUUAGGAGAGUAAUUAUUACCGUUGACAUGCCUCUUUUGUUUGACAGUUUAUCCUCUAGAAGAGCAGCAAUAUAAUAAAGUAGUAGCUGCAAAAAAGCCAACAAGCUAUGUUCCUCUGUUUUGCACUGUCCGUUUUCCUUAACCCAAAAUAUUAUAACAGAUUCACUAAACCUUGUAAACAGAUGUGCUUAUUGCAGCAAAUCUAGUUCAAUAAAUCAUUUUCUGACAAA
Non-coding RNA from Epinephelus lanceolatus (giant grouper), 1153 nucleotides. The record is from RefSeq and is a predicted model, not a curated record. Lineage: Eukaryota; Metazoa; Chordata; Actinopteri; Perciformes; Serranidae.